AUGAAUGGCCGCGGUACCUUGACCGNGCUAAGGUAGCGCAAUAAAUUGGCCUUUAAAUGAGGCCAUGUAUGAAUGGAAUCACGGAGUUUAGCUGUCUCUAGAAUUAAUUUAUUGNAAUUACUAUACAGGUGAAAAAGCCUGUUCUAAGAAAAAGGACGAGAAGACCCUUAGAGCUUUACUAAGUUGAAAAUUUUUUAUUUUCAAGACAGUUUUGUUGGGGCAACAUAGGAACACUGAAAUUUCCUUAAGUUUAAUUUACCGAUACUUAUAAAUUUGAAUAAGCUACCUUAGGGAUAACAGCAAAAUUUUAUAAAUUAGUUUGUGACCUCGAUGUUGGACUAGGAAACUGCUAGGCUAGCCGCUUAUUAGAUAAGUUCUGUUCGAAC
RNAcentral lists this ribosomal RNA (386 nucleotides) under Cadlina laevis. RNAcentral describes it as "partial 16S ribosomal RNA". It matches the Rfam family "Bacterial large subunit ribosomal RNA", at positions 1923 to 2586 of the family's 2925-position model. The record is from RNAcentral. Lineage: Eukaryota; Metazoa; Mollusca; Gastropoda; Nudibranchia; Chromodorididae.